GACGAACGCUGGCGGCGUGCUUAACACAUGCAAGUCGAGCGGUAAGGCCCUUUCGGGGGUACACGAGCGGCGAACGGGUGAGUAACGACGUGGGUGACCUGCCCUUAGCUCUGGGAUAAGCCUGGGAAACUGGGUCUAAUACCGGAUAUGACUCCAUGACGCAUGUUGUGGGGUGGAAAGCCUUGUGCGGCUAGGGAUGGGCCCGCGGCCUAUCAGCUUGUUGGUGGGGUGAUGGCCUACCAAGGCGACGACGGGUAGCCGGCCUGAGAGGGCGACCGGCCACACUGGGACUGAGACACGGCCCAGACUCCUACGGGAGG
This 320-nucleotide ribosomal RNA is filed under the name uncultured bacterium. RNAcentral's name for it is "bacterial SSU rRNA". It matches the Rfam family "Bacterial small subunit ribosomal RNA", at positions 28 to 348 of the family's 1533-position model. The record is from RNAcentral.